Molecule: ribosomal RNA, 414 nt
Filed under: uncultured bacterium
Lineage: Bacteria
Description: bacterial SSU rRNA
Rfam family: Bacterial small subunit ribosomal RNA
Source: RNAcentral
UGGGAACGCGAAGAACCUUACCAGGGUUUGACAUCCUACUAACGAAGUAGGGAUACAUUAGGUGCCCUUCGGGGAAAGUAGAGACAGGUGGUGCAUGGUUGUCGUCAGCUCGUGUCGUGAGAUGUUGGGUUAAGUCCCGCAACGAGCGCAAACCCCUAUUGUUAGUUGCUACGCAAGAGCACUCUAGCGAGACUGCCGUUGACAAAACGGAGGAAGGUGGGGACGACGUCAAAUUAUCAUGCCCCUUAUAUCCUGGGCCACACACGUACUACAAUGGCGGUUAACAGAGGGAUGCAAGACCGCGAGGUGGAGCAAAUCCCUAAAAACCGUCCCAGUUCGGAUUGCAGGCUGAAACUCGCCUGUAUGAAGUUGGAAUCGCUAGUAAUCGCGGACCAGCAUGCCGCGGUGAAUACG